AAUAAGAAGCCUAGGAAUAACAAUACAGGGCAUUUCAUGCACUGUAAUAAGAAGCCUAGGAAUAACAAUACAGGGCAUUUCAUGCACUGUAAUAAGAUGAAGAAUAAGAAACGAAGGAAUAACAAUACAGGGCAUUUCAUGCACUGUAACUAGAAAAUGCAUUUCCUGAAGGAAAUACCAGUGCAUGAAAUGCAAAAGUUGAGGAAAGGAAGAAGAAAAGGAAGAAGAGUGAAAGAAGAAAGGAAAGAAGAGUAAAAGAAGGAAAGAAGAAAGGAAAGAAGAGUGAAGAAAGGAAAGAAGUGGAAGAAGGAAAGAAGAGUGGAAGAAGGAAAGAAUAAAGGAAAGAAGAGUGAAGAAAGGAAAGAAGAAAAGAAUGAAGAGUGGAAGAAGGAAAGAAGAAAGGAAAGAAGAGUGAAGAAAGGAAAGAAGAGUGGAAGAAGAAAAGAAGAAAGGAAAGAAGAGUAAAAGAAGGAAAGAAGAGUGGAGGAAGGAAAGAAGAGUGGAAGAAGGAAAGCAGAAAGGAAAGAAGAGUGGAAGAAGGAAAGAAUAAAGGAAAGAAGAAAAGAAAGAAGAGUGAAAGAAGAAAGGAAAGAAGAGUGAAAGAAGAAAGGAAAGAAGAGUGGAAGAAAAGAAAGAAGGAAAGAUGAAAGGAAAGAAGAGUGAAGAAAGAAAAGAAGAGUAGAAGAAGGAAAGAAGAGUUGAAGAAGGAAAGAAGAAAGGAAAGGAGAGUGGAAGAAGGAAAGAAGAGUGGAAGAACGACAGAAGAAGAGUGGAAGAAGGAAAGAAUAAUAUUCCUAGUUAUACAGUUAAAUGGAGAGGGACAGUGUUGAGGUGAAAUGAACAUUUCGGUUGACUGUGCUUAAAAAACUGCAAGUCCCACAAUGCACCACUAGCAGGCCAGUGCAGCCUGCUCAUUAUUUUAAGUGGGAACACCUGAGAAGGAAAGGAGGUCUCUCAGUAAACACUCCAGCAAACAUUUCAGCAGAAAGAGAGACACACGAAAAGGAUCUACUUGUGGUGCAACCAAAGAAGCCACUGGUUUUCAACCUAAAUGAGCCAACCAGACCAAACGAAC
Clupea harengus (Atlantic herring) is the source of this 1075-nucleotide long non-coding RNA. The record is from Ensembl. Lineage: Eukaryota; Metazoa; Chordata; Actinopteri; Clupeiformes; Clupeidae.